This is a long non-coding RNA of Ornithorhynchus anatinus (platypus), 439 nucleotides long. RefSeq lists it as uncharacterized. Lineage: Eukaryota; Metazoa; Chordata; Mammalia; Monotremata; Ornithorhynchidae. The transcript is spliced from 4 exons. The record is from RefSeq and is a predicted model, not a curated record.
CCACAUUUGUCUUUGAAGGCCAGGUUCUUCAACUCCAGAAGGGUUUCAAGCAGGACUGGUGGAGUAGCUCCGGUAACACCUCACUUCCAUCAGACCCAGGAUCUACUAGCUCCUAACCAAAGGAGGGUUCUGCAGUGAGUCCCGUGUCUCGGAGCUGGUCGGGGGCAGGAAUGGGAGUGCGAGUCUGUCCUGUCGGCUCUGAUACAGGAAGGAACCCCAUAGGACCAACCUCAGCAGUGCAUAGCUCAGGGAACAUGGUCAGACCACUCACGCUGCAGAGUGCUGCUGGAGGGAAUGUAUGUAGGAGGACCACCUCGACGCUCUCAUAGCCGGGGAGCCGAGACGAGGGAAGACACCCAAAGAACGGACUAGGUCGCGACGGACCACUCGCCCGCCGUUAAUAUGAGGGAACUGAGGCACAGAGAAGUUAAGUGACUUG